AUGAACGCUGGCGGCGUGCCUAAUACAUGCAAGUCGAACGAAUCUCUUUUAGAGAUGAGUGGCGAACGGGUGAGUAAUACAUAGGUAACCUGCCCCUGUGCGGGGGAUAACAGGAGGAAACUCCUGCUAAUACCGCAUAGCCAUGAGCACCGCAUGGAGCUCAUGCCAAAUAUCCUUUAUGGGAUAGCGCAGGGAUGGACCUAUGGCGCAUUAGCUGGUUGGCGGGGCAACGGCCCACCAAGGCAACGAUGCGUAGCCGGCCUGAGAGGGCGGACGGCCACAUUGGGACUGAGACACGGCCCAGACUCCUACGGGAGGCAGCAGUAGGGAAUUUUCGGCAAUGGGGGAAACCCUGACCGAGCAACGCCGCGUGAGCGAAGAAGGCCUUCGGGUCGUAAAGCUCUGUUGUAAAGGAAGAACGGCGCAUACAGGAAAUGGUAUGCGAGUGACGGUACUUUACCAGAAAGCCACGGCUAACUACGUGCCAGCAGCCGCGGUAAUACGUAGGUGGCGAGCGUUAUCCGGAAUCAUUGGGCGUAAAGAGGGAGCAGGCGGCCGCAAGGGUCUGUGGUGAAAGACCGAAGCUAAACUUCGGUAAGCCAUGGAAACCGGGCGGCUAGAGUGCGGAAGAGGAUCGUGGAAUUCCAUGUGUAGCGGUGAAAUGCGUAGAUAUAUGGAGGAACACCAGUGGCGAAGGCGACGGUCUGGGCCGCAACUGACGCUCAUUCCCGAAAGCGUGGGGAGCAAAUAGGAUUAGAUACCCUAGUAGUCCACGCCGUAAACGAUGGUCACUAAGUGUCGGGGGUCAAACCCCGGUGCUGCAGUCAACGCAAUAAGUGACCCGCCUGAGUAGUACGUUCGCAAGAAUGAAACUCAAAGGAAUUGACGGAAG
This 892-nucleotide ribosomal RNA is filed under the name uncultured bacterium. RNAcentral's name for it is "bacterial SSU rRNA". It matches the Rfam family "Bacterial small subunit ribosomal RNA", at positions 29 to 919 of the family's 1533-position model. The record is from RNAcentral.